AUGGGAUUAGAGAAUGAUACAUGAAUUUCAGAAUUUCUUCUGGGAUUUUUGGAGGAACCAGAAUUACAACUCUUAUUCUUUGGGCUGUUCCUGUCCAUGUACUUGGUUACCAUACUUGGGAACCUGCUCAUCAUCCUGGCCAUCAGCUUUGACUCCCACCUCCACACCCCCAUGUACUUCUUCCUCGCCAACCUGUCCUUUGUAGACAUCUGUUUCACCUCCACCACCAUCCCCAAGAUGCUGGUGAAUAUACAAACAUGGAGAAAAGUCAUAACUUAUGAAAGCUGCAUCAUGCAGAUGUGCUUUUUCCUACUUUCUGCAAGUUUGGACAACUUCCUCCUGACUGUGAUGGCUUAUGACUAUUUUGUGGCCAUCUGUCACCCCCUACACUAUACAGUCACCAUGAACCCCCGGCUCUGUGGACUGCUGGUUCUGGUGUCCUGGAUCAUGAGUGUCCUGCAUUCCUUGUUACAAACGUUAAUGGUGUUGCAGCUAUCCUUCUGUACAGAGGUGGAAAUCCUCCACCUUUUCUCUGAACUCAAUCAGGUGAUCCAACUUGCCUGUUCUGGUACAUUUCUUAAUGACAUGGUGAUGUAUUUUGCAACUGUGCUGAUGGCUGCUGCUCCCCUUGCUGGGGUCUUUUACUCUUACUCUAAGAUAGUUUCCUUCAUAUGUGGGAUCUCAUCAUCUCAGGGCAAGUAUAAAGCAUUUUCCACCUGUGCAUCUCACCUUUCAGGUGUCUCCUUAUUUUACUGUACAGGCUUAGGAGUGUACCUUAACUCUGCUGCUCCUUAGAGCUCACACUCAAGUGCAGUAGCCUCAGUGAUGUACACAAUGGUCACACCCAUGCUGAACCCCUUCAUCUGCAGCCUAAGGAACAAAUACAUAAAGGGGGCUUUAAAUGUAUUUUUCAUAGGGAAGCCAUAA
This is an RNA transcript of Mirounga angustirostris (Northern elephant seal), 927 nucleotides long. It is a transcript of the gene named olfactory receptor-like protein OLF4, with no coding region annotated. Lineage: Eukaryota; Metazoa; Chordata; Mammalia; Carnivora; Phocidae. The transcript has a single exon. The record is from RefSeq and is a predicted model, not a curated record.